Molecule: ribosomal RNA, 677 nt
Filed under: uncultured Ramlibacter sp.
Lineage: Bacteria; Pseudomonadati; Pseudomonadota; Betaproteobacteria; Burkholderiales; Comamonadaceae
Description: bacterial SSU rRNA
Rfam family: Bacterial small subunit ribosomal RNA
Source: RNAcentral
AGUCGAACGGCAGCACGGGGGCAACCCUGGUGGCGAGUGGCGAACGGGUGAGUAAUACAUCGGAACGUGCCCAGUCGUGGGGGAUAACGUAGCGAAAGCUACGCUAAUACCGCAUACGAUCUAAGGAUGAAAGCGGGGGACCGUAAGGCCUCGCGCGAUUGGAGCGGCCGAUGGCAGAUUAGGUAGUUGGUGGGGUAAAGGCUCACCAAGCCGACGAUCUGUAGCUGGUCUGAGAGGACGACCAGCCACACUGGGACUGAGACACGGCCCAGACUCCUACGGGAGGCAGCAGUGGGGAAUUUUGGACAAUGGGCGCAAGCCUGAUCCAGCCAUUCCGCGUGCAGGAUGAAGGCCUUCGGGUUGUAAACUGCUUUUGUACGGAACGAAACGGCGAUCUCUAAUACAGGUUGCUAAUGACGGUACCGUAAGAAUAAGCACCGGCUAACUACGUGCCAGCAGCCGCGGUAAUACGUAGGGUGCAAGCGUUAAUCGGAAUUACUGGGCGUAAAGCGUGCGCAGGCGGUGAUGUAAGACAGAUGUGAAAUCCCCGGGCUCAACCUGGGAACUGCAUUUGUGACUGCAUCGCUGGAGUGCGGCAGAGGGGGAUGGAAUUCCGCGUGUAGCAGUGAAAUGCGUAGAUAUGCGGAGGAACACCGAUGGCGAAGGCAAUCCCCUGG